UACACGAGUGGCGCACGGGUGCGUAACGCGUAUGCAACCUACCUGUAACAGGGGGAUAGCCCCGAGAAAUCGGGAUUAAUACCCCAUACAAUCAAGAGAUGGCAUCAACUUUUGAUAAAAGCUUAGGUGGUUACAGAUGGGCAUGCGUGACAUUAGCUGGUUGGUGAGGUAAAGGCUCACCAAGGCGACGAUGUCUAGGGGGUCUGAGAGGAUGAUCCCCCACACUGGUACUGAGACACGGACCAGACUCCUACGGGAGGCAGCAGUGAGGAAUAUUGCGCAAUGGACGAAAGUCUGACGCAGCCAUGCCGCGUGAAGGAAGACGGCCCUAUGGGUUGUAAACUUCUUUUCUGGAGGAAG
This 360-nucleotide ribosomal RNA is filed under the name uncultured bacterium. Its description in RNAcentral is "bacterial SSU rRNA". It matches the Rfam family "Bacterial small subunit ribosomal RNA", at positions 88 to 447 of the family's 1533-position model. The record is from RNAcentral.